RNAcentral lists this ribosomal RNA (465 nucleotides) under uncultured bacterium. Its description in RNAcentral is "partial 16S ribosomal RNA". It matches the Rfam family "Bacterial small subunit ribosomal RNA", at positions 28 to 507 of the family's 1533-position model. The record is from RNAcentral.
GACGAACGCUGGCGGCGUGCUUAACACAUGCAAGUCGAACGGAAAGGCCCCUUUGGGGGUACUCGAGUGGCGAACGGGUGAGUAACACGUGAGUAACCUGCCCUUGACUUCGGGAUAACUUCAGGAAACUGGGGCUAAUACCGGAUAGGAAUCCUUGCUGCAUGGUGGGGGUUGGAAAGCUUCGGCGGUUUUGGAUGGACUCGCGGCGUAUCAGCUUGUUGGUGGGGUAGUGGCUUACCAAGGCUUUGACGGGUAGCCGGCCUGAGAGGGCGACCGGCCACAUUGGGACUGAGAUACGGCCCAGACUCCUACGGGAGGCAGCAGUGGGGAAUCUUGCACAAUGGGCGGAAGCCUGAUGCAGCAACGCCGCGUGCGGGAUGACGGCCUUCGGGUUGUAAACCGCUUUCAGCAGGGGCGAAGCUUGUGGUGACGGUACCUGCAGAAGAAGCACCGGCUAACUACGUG